Molecule: unclassified non-coding RNA, 151 nt
Filed under: soil metagenome
Description: partial internal transcribed spacer 1
Source: RNAcentral
GCGAGUAUGGCCCUCACGGGUCUAAUCCACCAUAAACACCUUUGUGAACCAGUCAGGGGGACUCGGCCGUGAAAGCCCAGGCGAUUAGCGGAAGGGCCCUCCUUUGCAAACCCGUUUGGAAGUCUUGAAAGUACUUUUGUAUAAUCUAGUA